RNAcentral lists this long non-coding RNA (1142 nucleotides) under Homo sapiens (human). RNAcentral's name for it is "long non-coding RNA NONHSAT196127.1". Lineage: Eukaryota; Metazoa; Chordata; Mammalia; Primates; Hominidae. The record is from RNAcentral.
CCCAGCCCACUGACUCACAUGUUAAUCUCCUUUGGCAACACCCUCACAGACACACCCAGAUCAAUAUUCUGUAUCUUUCAAUCCAAUCAAGUUGACACUCAGUAUUAACCAUCACAGGAAGUAUACAAAUUUGACUUAGCCUUGUUAUCUUUACUUACUAUCUUUAUCGUUUUACCUGCUCACCCUGCCCCUGCCUGGUUUCCUAGGUCAAAUUAGGAAUUAAUCUUACAGCAAAGACCCCCUAUUUCAAAAACAGACAAACAAAAAACCUCUGUCUCAGUUUCUGCCUGCCCAAAAGAGAUGUUUCUACUAGUCAGAACAAACAUCAGAGAUGGACUUUGAUCAGAAACUCAGGAAGUGGGAGAGGAUGCAGGUCAGGUUAAGAGAAAUAGUGCAGUUCCAACCCUGGGCAGCCCUAAGUAAGAGUCAUCAGAAGCUUCCAGGCAAUUGUCACUGAAAAAUAAGUGCUAUAGCACUACCUCAGCUGCUGCAACCACAGACCUCAUUCAGAAAUCUUUAUUGUAUUAACCCUUGUGUGUCCGGAAUUGGUGGGUUCUUGGUCUCACUGACUUCAAGAAUGAAGCCUGGGACACUCACGGAAUCAAGACAACUCACCAGAAAAAGGACUGAGAACUCCUUCUGGAUGAAGAUACUUCCUAGGUGCAAGAGAGUUGAGUUAAGGCUAAAGCUCUAUAACCAUUGAAAGCUGGCUGGGGGAAAAGAAGAAGAGGCAAAAAGAUCAACUGAAGAAUAAACUGCUGUCAUUGGCACAAAAGAAUACCACAAAGAUUAUUUACAAAACUCGAAUCAGGAGUAGAACAGACCUCCAUGUGGAAGUUCAAUUAUGCUAAGAGGAAAGAGGAAAGGGGAAGAGUUUACAGAAAUAAAUUAAUGAUGAUGAUAAACUAUUUUCAAGCCCUUACAUUUUUUUUUUUUAUGGAGUUUCGCUCUGUCACCCAUGCUGGAGUGCAAUGGCAUGAUCUCAGCUCUCUGCAAUCUCCACCUCCCUGAUUCAAGCAAUUCUCCUGCCACAGCCUCCCGAGCAGCUGGGAUUACAGGCAUGUGCCACCACGCCUGGCUAAUUUUGUAUUUUUAGUACAGACGGUGUUUUGCCAUGUUGGUCAGGCUGGUCUCGAACUCCU